CCUGCUUCUAUGGAAGAAGAAGCUCUGAGGCGUUCGAGCUGAUUCUGCGGACAAAACCAGGACGGAGCACAGUGCUUGAAAAAUGUGAAGAAACUGGGACGUUGUGUGGAACGAGGAAGAUAGUUAACAUUCUGGCAACACACAUGGUUGAGACUGAAGGGUAAGUUUCUUAAAACGACGGUAUAGAUAGGACUGUAAGGACGAGCGAAAUUGUGUGAAAUUGGAAAGAUAAAACGAAUACAGAAGUAAUUGGCAUAUAGGUAAAAUGUCUGUGAACAUCAUUUACCUCUUUGUGGGAUUAUCACGUCUCUGUUCUCUACUCGUCUCAAACCUUCCUCAUUCGUGUCCGUAACCGUAAAGCUAAGCUCUGACUGCCACCUCUUUACAACACAUUUUGAAUCUUUAAUCAUUACAAGUAAUCAAAAACAUUUACAGAAAUCCUCCCAGAAUAGACGGCGGGUCUUUAUGGCAGAAUUACCGCGACAUUUCUGAAUCCUUCCCUCAAUGGCCUCUCUUUGGCGUUUGAGCUGCUGAAUAAUAGAUUUGAAUUUCAUCCGACCCCCCGAAUAACAAAUACAUUUUACAUAUACAGCUCGUCUUCUCAAUAUUGCCUGACAUCGUAGGAUAGUUAUGUCUUAACUUUCUCUUUCAACACGCUGUAAUGACGUUAGAUUCAGGCGGAUACGUUGGCCUCUGGUGAUUGGUUAGCGAGAAAUCGAACC
Anarrhichthys ocellatus (wolf-eel) is the source of this 722-nucleotide long non-coding RNA. RefSeq lists it as uncharacterized. The transcript has 2 exons. The record is from RefSeq and is a predicted model, not a curated record. Lineage: Eukaryota; Metazoa; Chordata; Actinopteri; Perciformes; Anarhichadidae.